GAUGAACGCUGGCGGCGUGCCUAAUACAUGCAAGUCGAGCGAACGGACGAGAAGCUUGCUUCUCUGAUGUUAGCGGCGGACGGGUGGGUAACACGUGGAUAACCUACCUAUAAGACUGGGAUAACUUCGGGAAACCGGAGCUAAUACCGGAUAAUAUUUUGAACCGCAUGGUUCAAAAGUGAAAGACGGUCUUGCUGUCACUUAUAGAUGGAUCCGCGCUGCAUUAGCUAGUUGGUAAGGUAACGGCUUACCAAGGCAACGAUGCAUAGCCGACCUGAGAGGGUGAUCGGCCACACUGGAACUGAGACACGGUCCAGACUCCUACGGGAGGCAGCAGUAGGGAAUCUUCCGCAAUGGGCGAAAGCCUGACGGAGCAACGCCGCGUGAGUGAUGAAGGUCUUCGGAUCGUAAAACUCUGUUAUUAGGGAAGAACAUAUGUGUAAGUAACUGUGCACAUCUGGACGGUACCUAAGCAGAAAGCCACGGCUAACUACGU
RNAcentral lists this ribosomal RNA (496 nucleotides) under uncultured bacterium. RNAcentral's name for it is "partial 16S ribosomal RNA". It matches the Rfam family "Bacterial small subunit ribosomal RNA", at positions 28 to 506 of the family's 1533-position model. The record is from RNAcentral.